GACGAACGCUGGCGGCGUGCUUAACACAUGCAAGUCGAGCGGUAAGGCCCUUUCGGGGGUACGACGAGCGGCGAACGGGUGAGUAACACGUGGGUGACCUGCCCUCAGCUCUGGGAUAAGCCUGGGAAACCGGGUCUAAUACCGGAUAUGACUCCAUGACGCAUGUUGUGGGGUGGAAAGCCUUGUGCGGCUGAGGAUGGGCCCGCGGCCUAUCAGCUUGUUGGUGGGGUGAUGGCCUACCAAGGCGACGACGGGUAGCCGGCCUGAGAGGGCGACCGGCCACACUGGGACUGAGACACGGCCCAGACUCCUACGGGAGGCAGCAGUGGGGAAUCUUGCGCAAUGGGCGAAAGCCUGACGCAGCGACGCCGCGUGAGGGAUGACGGCCUCGGUCGUAACUA
Molecule: ribosomal RNA, 401 nt
Filed under: uncultured bacterium
Lineage: Bacteria
Description: bacterial SSU rRNA
Rfam family: Bacterial small subunit ribosomal RNA
Source: RNAcentral